Podarcis lilfordi (Lilford's wall lizard) is the source of this 70-nucleotide non-coding RNA. NCBI's taxonomy places the organism in Eukaryota, Metazoa, Chordata, Lepidosauria, Squamata, Lacertidae. The record is from the annotation of a GenBank genome assembly.
GGUUUGCUCAGGUGGUUAGAGCAUCAUGCUGAUAACACCAAGGUUGCAGGUUCAAUCCCCAUAUGGGACA